GGUUAAGUGAAUAAGGGCGCACGGUGGAUGCCUUGGCACUAGGAGCCGAUGAAGGACGGGACUAACACCGAUAUGCUUUGGGGAGCUGUAAGUAAGCUAUGAUCCAGAGAUUUCCGAAUGGGGGAACCCAGCAUCUUUUAUAGGAUGUUACACAGUUGUGAAUACAUAGCAGCUGUGAGGUAGACGCAGAGAACUGAAACAUCUAAGUACCUGCAGGAAGAGAAAGAAAAUUCGAUUCCCUGAGUAGCGGCGAGCGAAACGGGAAAAGCCCAAACCAACAAGCUUGCUUGUUGGGGUUGUAGGACUCCGAUAUGGUAGUUGAAACAGAUAGUCGAAAUACUUGGAAAAGUAUGUCAAAGAGGGUAAAAACCCCGUAGAUGAAAUCUGGCUCACACCUAGGAGGAUCCUGAGUACGGCGGAACACGAGGAAUUCCGUCGGAAUCCGGGAGGACCAUCUCCCAAGGCUAAAUACUCCCUAGUGACCGAUAGUGAACCAGUACCGUGAGGGAAAGGUGAAAAGCACCCCGGAAGGGGAGUGAAAGAGAUCCUGAAACCGUGUGCCUACAACAAGUUAGAGCCCGUUAAUGGGUGAUAGCGUGCCUUUUGUAGAAUGAACCGGCGAGUUACGAUAGCAUGCGAGGUUAAGUUGAAGAGACGGAGCCGCAGCGAAAGCGAGUCUGAAUAGGGCGAAUGAGUAUGUUGUCGUAGACCCGAAACCAUGUGAUCUACCCAUGUCCAGGUUGAAGGUGCGGUAAAACGCACUGGAGGACCGAACCCACGUACGUUGAAAAGUGCGGGGAUGAGGUGUGGGUAGCGGAGAAAUUCCAAACGAACUUGGAGAUAGCUGGUUCUCUCCGAAAUAGCUUUAGGGCUAGCCUCGGAAUUGAGAAUGAUGGAGGUAGAGCACUGUUUGGACUAGGGGCCCAUCUCGGGUUACCGAAUUCAGAUAAACUCCGAAUGCCAUUCAUUCAUAUCCGGGAGUCAGACUGUGAGUGAUAAGAUCCAUAGUCGAAAGGGAAACAGCCCAGACCACCAGCUAAGGUCCCCAAAUAACUAUUAAGUGGAAAAGGAUGUGGGGUUGCACAGACAACUAGGAUGUUGGCUUAGAAGCAGCCACCAUUUAAAGAGUGCGUAAUAGCUCACUAGUCGAGUGACCCUGCGCCGAAAAUGUACCGGGGCUAAAUAGUUUACCGAAGCUGUGGAGUGCACCGUAAGGUGCAUUGGUAGGAGAGCGUUCUAAGGGCGUUGAAGGUAGAUCGUGAGGACUACUGGAGCGCUUAGAAGUGAGAAUGCCGGUAUGAGUAGCGAAAGACAGGUGAGAAUCCUGUCCACCGUAUGACUAAGGUUUCCUGGGGGAAGGCUCGUCCGCCCAGGGUUAGUCGGGACCUAAGCCGAGGCCGACAGGCGUAGGCGAUGGACAACAGGUUGAUAUUCCUGUACCCGUUGUUUUUGUUUGAGCAAUGGAGGGACGCAGGAGGCUAAGAAGUGCAGACUGAUGGAUAUGUCUGUUCAAGCAGUGAGUCUUAGUGGGAGUCAAAUGCUUCUACUUUCAAGGACAAGCUGUGAUGAGGAGGGAAAUAAUAGUACCGAAGCUUCUGAUGUCACACUGCCAAGAAAAGCUUCUAGUGAGAAAACAAUGGCCCGUACCGCAAACCGACACAGGUAGUCGAGGAGAGCAUCCUAAGGUGAGCGAGAGAACUCUCGUUAAGGAACUCGGCAAAAUGACCCCGUAACUUCGGGAGAAGGGGUGCUGCUCUAACGAGCAGCCGCAGUGAAUAGGCCCAAGCGACUGUUUAUCAAAAACACAGGUCUCUGCAAAAUCGAAAGAUGACGUAUAGGGGCUGACGCCUGCCCGGUGCUGGAAGGUUAAGAGGAGUGCUUAGCGUAAGCGAAGGUACGAAUUGAAGCCCCAGUAAACGGCGGCCGUAACUAUAACGGUCCUAAGGUAGCGAAAUUCCUUGUCGGGUAAGUUCCGACCCGCACGAAAGGCGUAACGAUUUGGGCACUGUCUCAACGAGAGACUCGGUGAAAUUUUAGUACCUGUGAAGAUGCAGGUUACCCGCGACAGGACGGAAAGACCCCAUGGAGCUUUACUGUAGUUUGAUAUUGAGUGUCUGUACCGCAUGUACAGGAUAGGUAGGAGCCGUAGAGAUCGGGACGCCAGUUUCGAUGGAGGCAAUGGUGGGAUACUACCCUUGCGUUAUGGCCACUCUAACCCGCAGCCCUUAUCGGGCUGGGAGACAGUGUCAGAUGGGCAGUUUGACUGGGGCGGUCGCCUCCUAAAAGGUAACGGAGGCGCCCAAAGGUUCCCUCAGAAUGGUUGGAAAUCAUUCGAAGAGUGUAAAGGCAGAAGGGAGCUUGACUGCGAGAGCUACAACUCGAGCAGGGACGAAAGUCGGGCUUAGUGAUCCGGUGGUUCCGCAUGGAAGGGCCAUCGCUCAACGGAUAAAAGCUACCCUGGGGAUAACAGGCUUAUCUCCCCCAAGAGUCCACAUCGACGGGGAGGUUUGGCACCUCGAUGUCGGCUCGUCGCAUCCUGGGGCUGUAGUCGGUCCCAAGGGUUGGGCUGUUCGCCCAUUAAAGCGGCACGCGAGCUGGGUUCAGAACGUCGUGAGACAGUUCGGUCCCUAUCCGUCGCGGGCGUUGGAAAUUUGAGAGGAGCUGUCCUUAGUACGAGAGGACCGGGAUGGACUUACCGCUGGUGUACCAGUUGUCUCGCCAGAGGCAUCGCUGGGUAGCUAUGUAGGGAAGGGAUAAACGCUGAAAGCAUCUAAGUGUGAAGCCCACCUCAAGAUGAGAUUUCCCAUUUCUUUAAGAAAGUAAGAUCCCUGAGAGAUGAUCAGGUAGAUAGGUCAGAAGUGGAAGGCCAGUGAUGGUUGGAGCGGACUGAUACUAAUCGAUCGAGGACUUAACCAC
RNAcentral lists this ribosomal RNA (2916 nucleotides) under Enterococcus gallinarum. RNAcentral describes it as "23S ribosomal RNA". It matches the Rfam family "Bacterial large subunit ribosomal RNA". The record is from RNAcentral. Lineage: Bacteria; Bacillati; Bacillota; Bacilli; Lactobacillales; Enterococcaceae.